UACGUAUGGUGCAAGCGUUAUCCGGAUUUACUGGGCGUAAAGGGAGCGCAGGCGGCGCGCCAAGUCUGAUGUGAAACCCCGGGGCUCAACCCCGGGACUGCUCUUGGAACUGCGUGGCUGGAGUGCAGGAGGGGCAGGCGGAAUUCCUGGCGUAGCGGUGAAAUGCGUAGAUAUCAGGAGGAACACCGGUGGCGAAGGCGGCCUGCUGGACUGCAACUGACGUUGAGGCCCGAAAGCGUGGGGAGCAAACAGG
Molecule: ribosomal RNA, 253 nt
Filed under: uncultured bacterium
Lineage: Bacteria
Description: partial 16S ribosomal RNA
Rfam family: Bacterial small subunit ribosomal RNA
Source: RNAcentral